Molecule: transfer RNA, 74 nt
Filed under: Candidatus Improbicoccus pseudotrichonymphae
Lineage: Bacteria; Bacillati; Bacillota; Clostridia
Description: tRNA-Gly
Rfam family: tRNA
About the family: Transfer RNA (tRNA) molecules are approximately 80 nucleotides in length. Their secondary structure includes four short double-helical elements and three loops (D, anti-codon, and T loops).
Source: RNAcentral
GCGGGUGUAAUUUAGUGGUAGAAUUCCAGCCUUCCAAGCUGACAGUGUGGGUUCGAUUCCCAUCACCCGCUCCA